AGCUUUGCGCAGUGGCAGUAUCGUAGCCAAUGAGGUUUAUCCGAGGCGCGAUUAUUGCUAGUUAGCUUCUAGAGAAGAGGCACAGAUAUGCCCCAUGGUAUCUAGUAUGCCUGAGUCAACACACACAGAAACACUUCUAGACCAUAUGUCAAAAUCCCUUUCAUGAUUGCUUAUGAAAGGAAUUUAACAAGAGAUAGU
RNAcentral lists this small nuclear RNA (198 nucleotides) under Suricata suricatta (meerkat). RNAcentral describes it as "U4 spliceosomal RNA (ENSSSUG00005021798.1)". The stretch from base 1 to 64 matches the Rfam family "U4 spliceosomal RNA". Lineage: Eukaryota; Metazoa; Chordata; Mammalia; Carnivora; Herpestidae. The record is from RNAcentral.